RNAcentral lists this long non-coding RNA (1515 nucleotides) under Homo sapiens (human). RNAcentral's name for it is "non-protein coding lnc-MECR-4:2". The record is from RNAcentral. Lineage: Eukaryota; Metazoa; Chordata; Mammalia; Primates; Hominidae.
CCCCAGUGGGUUUCAGUCCCUCCCAGCAGAGCACCCCAUUCUCUGUCCUCAAUCCCCGAAGGCAGACAGGUGUCAUCCUCUCCCCGCUCCUCCCCAGCCCUCUGGACCUCCUUUAACCAUACAUGUGAGCCCAACUACUCGGGGAGAGGAGCUGAAGUUGUUUAUCCGUUAUUUUAAAAAAUCCUUUCUGUCUACAUCUGUCUUUUUCCAGUACUCAAAUUUCAACCCCUACAUCAUGUACCACCCCCACCCCCCCUACUCUUUCCUGGGCAGGUCCGUAGACUGGCCUGCGGAGGUGCCUGGACGGUGCCCUUGUUCUCUGUCCUCUGACUCCCAAGGGCCUGGUUGGAAUUCUGGGAAGGGCCAGAUCUGCACUGGGUCCCUCAGGAUAUCCCAGGGCAGCCCCCUCUCUGCCCACCCUAACUUCAGCAGCUCCAGAGCAGGAAGGUUGGGGUCCUAGGGUCACCUGCCACAGAGAGGAAACCAGAGCCCAGAGCCCCGUAGACUUGGCCAUGGGAAGGACACAAGCCACUCCCAUCUUCACUGGGUCACUAGAUAAAUGGGCUGGAGUAACACACCCAAAUGAUGAAUGCGUUGCUGCCAUAAUCCAAAUAGGCCCACUAGGCAUUGUGCCUCUUUCUUGGUUGUAGGAGGGGCCAAAUGCAGCAACCUAUCCUUCAUCUUAGAAGGAAUGUUUCAACAGGGGUGGCAGCUGAGGGAGGUGCAGGUGCAGAUUCUUGGACAGGCGAUUUAAUGAAGAGUUGUCUCUGGAAAAACUGGAAAGACAUGGGAAUGUUGAGUCAUUUGGGGCUAAUACAAAUAACACUGCCAUUCUUGUGAUAGAAUUUCUGUGGGUGUCUGUUUCGUUUCUCUAGGGAAAAUAGCUGGACCCACCAAGUCACAGAUUCUCUUACUGAGCCCUCCACACUGGGGGCUAUUCUGUGGGUAGACCCUGGGGGUGCCAGGUGCUGUCCAGGGAAGUGUGCUCAGCAGAGAGGUUGUUGUGUUGGAAGGGAAUGAGGGGGACCUGGAGAUCUGCUGGCUUGUCUGCACUGACCCAGGAGGCUGACCCUGAGCAAUGAGAGUGUUGCAAACUCCCAGGCAAAGUCCAGACUGGAGUGUGCCCGGGAUGCAUUUCCUACCGCAUUUUGCAGAGGGCAGCAUGAACCCCAGCAUACCUUAGAAUCCAGAACUGAGAAUCAGGGGAAUCUGGAGUUUCAUAAACCCAAGAUUUCAGAUUCUGAGAAUCUCAGAAUUUAGAAAUGUAGAGGCUCAGAGCCCGGAAAGUAGAGCCACCAGGUAGUUUAUGACUUCCAGUCUAACAGAAUUGUCUUCAAAAUACAGGAAAAAAAAUUAAAAAGACGAACCUCCCCUGGGAGCCCAGUACAUGGAUCAGAAGAAGGCUGGGCAGCAACUCUGGCUGGAGGCAGGUGGCGGCUUCUAAGACCUCUCUGCUGACCACCUUCCCCCAGGCAUUUUGACCCCUCAUUCCCUAUCAGGCAGCCCAGGACACUG